Piliocolobus tephrosceles (Ugandan red Colobus) is the source of this 523-nucleotide long non-coding RNA. RefSeq lists it as uncharacterized. The transcript has 3 exons. The record is from RefSeq and is a predicted model, not a curated record. NCBI's taxonomy places the organism in Eukaryota, Metazoa, Chordata, Mammalia, Primates, Cercopithecidae.
AUCGAAUAUGUCAUUAGUACACACCACUCAAUGCCCUGGCCUUGAGCAAGUCUCAGCAGAGCUGAAGAGAGAGAAAGAAUUUCUAGGAAGGAAGGCCACAUACCAAUAGAGUGUGAAGGACUUUGCACCAAGAUGCAAGGAUCCCAGAGACUGCCUGUGCUUUCUGGCCUUUGAAGGUUCACAUUUUAAUGGCAAUCCUUGAAAACCUAAAAGCCUUAGAAACCAGAAGAAAUCAAUGUUUAAUGAUGGAACUUGAAACAUUAUGACAAAGGAGAAGGAGCUGAAAGGAAUUUUUAGACUUCACUGAGUACAACCAAUUCAUCUUCUGCAUGAGCAAACUUAGAAGGAGAGAGAGAAAUGACAGGUGUCACACUGCAGCCCCAGAUUUCCUAAUACAAACUGCAGGGAAAGAAUCAUAUUGGCUCACCUAGUAAUCUACCAAACCCUGUCAGAUGCUACUGUCCCUCCUAUUCCACUUUUCAAAGCCUGUCAAAGAUGACAAAGAUGACAAACAAUUGAUAAG